UACGUAGGGUGCAAGCGUUGUCCGGAAUUAUUGGGCGUAAAGAGCUUGUAGGCGGUUUAUCGCGUCUGCUGUGAAAUUUCGGGGCUCAACCCCGAACUUGCAGUGGGUACGGGCAGACUAGAGUGUGGUAGGGGAGACUGGAAUUCCUGGUGUAGCGGUGAAAUGCGCAGAUAUCAGGAGGAACACCGAUGGCGAAGGCAGGUCUCUGGGCCAUAACUGACGCUGAGAAGCGAAAGCAUGGGGAGCGAACAGG
RNAcentral lists this ribosomal RNA (253 nucleotides) under uncultured bacterium. RNAcentral describes it as "partial 16S ribosomal RNA". It matches the Rfam family "Bacterial small subunit ribosomal RNA", at positions 524 to 776 of the family's 1533-position model. The record is from RNAcentral.